RNAcentral lists this ribosomal RNA (253 nucleotides) under uncultured bacterium. RNAcentral's name for it is "partial 16S ribosomal RNA". It matches the Rfam family "Bacterial small subunit ribosomal RNA", at positions 524 to 776 of the family's 1533-position model. The record is from RNAcentral.
UACGUAGGGCGCAAGCGUUAUCCGGAAUUAUUGGGCGUAAAGAGCUUGUAGGCGGUCUGUCGCGUCUGCUGUGAAAAUCCGGGGCUCAACCUCGGAUCGGCCGUGGCGACUCGUGGGCUGGAGCACUGUAGAGGCGGGUGGAAUUCCGGGUGUAGCGGUGGAAUGCGUAGAGAUCCGGAAGAACACCAGUGGCGAAGGCGGCCCGCUGGGCAGUGGCUGACGCUGAAGCGCGACAGCGUGGGGAGCAAACAGG